Helianthus annuus (common sunflower) is the source of this 326-nucleotide long non-coding RNA. RefSeq lists it as uncharacterized. The record is from RefSeq and is a predicted model, not a curated record. NCBI's taxonomy places the organism in Eukaryota, Viridiplantae, Streptophyta, Magnoliopsida, Asterales, Asteraceae. The transcript has 3 exons.
GCAAGAAAGGGGCGACCCCCAUCCCUCAAACCCUAGAAUCUUCACAAAAUUCAUAAAUUAAGGCUGCAAAUCUGCUUCAAAUCAAGUUCUAAACACGAAUUAACGAUCACCUAAUCAUAGUGAUCAACAGGCAAAGAGUCCGGAUCGUCAAGCGGACAAACCGAAGGGAAUCCACGGGGAAAGGGCGUGCUCUAAAGUUUUCAGGUAUUCAAGAAAAAGGAUGAUGAUCAAGCAUAACUAUCCGAACCGAACACUCUAGCAAACGCUUCCGCAUAUGAUCUUUUGUUCUAAAAACUAUGUAAACAAUUGUAGUUAAUAUCUUGAUU